Long non-coding RNA from Amphiprion ocellaris (clown anemonefish), 1645 nucleotides. The record is from Ensembl. Lineage: Eukaryota; Metazoa; Chordata; Actinopteri; Pomacentridae.
CCUCGGUGGCUGUCAAGCAUAUGUCCUCUCCAUCUUGGCACAGUUCCACGGUGGUGAAGCUCGGCUCCUCCACGGCGAGUACAGGUGACACGAGCAGGGGUGCAGGAGGAGGUGAGCAGCUGCCACAGCAUUCCCCCUCUGCAGGGCCCUCACUAAGGUUUGUGGCCUCCAGGGCGAAGCCUGGAUCGGGGGGGAGGGUUAAACACCCUCAGAGAUCUCAGGAGUUUUGCAGGUGAUCAGCAGGUGGAUGUGUGCCUGGCCUCCUUUAUCAGCCAGGACAGCACUCGGUCUCUCUGGUCCAAGUCAGUGCCGAGUCCCUCUACUUGCCCACAGCCAGCAUUUGCUCCUUCAUCUCCCGUUUCCAACUUCCUUCCUCAUGUCUCUCUCAAUAUCCCUCCCUGUCCCAGCCCACCCCACUGCCGGGCUUUGGAGAGGAGCAGGAUUAGCGUCUCUUUCGAUUACAGAGGCUGGAUGUGUGACGUCAGCCGGGUUUGACAGUCCCCUCUGAUGAGUUGGCACACUGGGUCGUUGGUGCAUCUGUAAAGAAACACAUAAAGGGCACACAGACGGCACAUGGCUCCACUGUUGAUGGACGUCAAAUCAACGCAAGAGGAGCACAACUGCUCAAAUUCUCGACCAACUCCGCCUGCUCUCUCUGGAUUCUGUCUGAACCUUCAGUCCGUCAUCCACAGUCAACCUGGUAUUUUCCAGAUUCCAUCCCUGGAUCAUCACCACCUGGCCCCUGCACCUGCGCUAGACGCCAUUCCAUCACACUUUCACUCCUGCCCUUUCUGCCUAAAAAACUAGUACAAACCAAGUCUCUGAUUUCCUCUCCAACAACGACUUACAUGACCCAAAUCAGCCUGGUUGUAGCUUGUAUUGCUUCUGUCACACGGUGGAUGAAAAAAAAUCGUGCUGGAGAGCAGUGUCCCCUGACUACACAAAAACUUGACCCAGUGGAGCCAUGGAUGCAUUAUCAGAGACAAACGCAACACAAGCUUUUUAUUCUGAUUAUUGCAAUGUCUCUCACUCUAGGCACUUUGGCCUUCACAGCCAAGUUAGACAUUGAAGACAGCUACCCCUGUCACUCUGGAGUCCUCAAGUUUCGCAGUGUGCUGGUGAAUGAAGGAGAUGGCUACAAUCCUGAAACGGGCAUCUUCACCUGCCCUGUGGACGGCCUCUAUUACUUCACUGUGCAUGCGUCUGUAUAUGGCCGUGGACAGUGUGCCAUAUACAAGAAUGGGGAGACAGUGGCUUCUCUGUAUCACACCUCUUUGCCUGACAAAUGUAGCCAAGUGGCCAGUACCAGCAGCGUGGUCAAACUGUCGAAAGAUAAUGAUGUGUGGGUGAACAUUUGGGGUCCUGGUAGAAAUGAUAUUUUUGCAACUGAAGAUAACGACACUGUGUUUACUGGAUUUCGUUUGGGUUGAUGACAUUUGGUGUCAUUAAUCCAAGCCAGCACCACAUGAUUGCUGUUUUUAUGUUAGGUACUUGCAUGUUUUACUGGUUUCUAUCAGUGCGCUUUUGUUGGGGUUUUAUGGUGUUUUCAAGAUGGAUGUGAAAAUUUUGCAGGUUGUUUUCUGACAGAAUAAAGCAAAAAUUAUUAAAACCUUGUCAUUUUGCAUCAAUAAAUGUAAAAAUUUGC